Molecule: ribosomal RNA, 495 nt
Filed under: uncultured bacterium
Lineage: Bacteria
Description: partial 16S ribosomal RNA
Rfam family: Bacterial small subunit ribosomal RNA
Source: RNAcentral
GAUGAACGCUGGCGGCGUGCCUAAUACAUGCAAGUCGAACGCUGAAGGAGGAGCUUGCUCUUCUGGAUGAGUUGCGAACGGGUGAGUAACGCGUAGGUAACCUGCCUGGUAGCGGGGGAUAACUAUUGGAAACGAUAGCUAAUACCGCAUGACAACAGUUAUUGCAUGAUAACUGUUUAAAAGGGGCAACUGCUCCACUACCAGAUGGACCUGCGUUGUAUUAGCUAGUUGGUGAGGUAACGGCUCACCAAGGCGACGAUACAUAGCCGACCUGAGAGGGUGAUCGGCCACACUGGGACUGAGACACGGCCCAGACUCCUACGGGAGGCAGCAGUAGGGAAUCUUCGGCAAUGGACGGAAGUCUGACCGAGCAACGCCGCGGGAGUGAAGAAGGUUUUCGGAUCGUAAAGCUCGGUUGUAAGAGAAGAACGAGUGUGAGAGUGGAAAGUUCACACUGUGACGGUAUCUGACCAGAAAGGGACGGCUAACUACGUG